RNAcentral lists this ribosomal RNA (301 nucleotides) under uncultured bacterium. RNAcentral describes it as "partial 16S ribosomal RNA". It matches the Rfam family "Bacterial small subunit ribosomal RNA", at positions 509 to 808 of the family's 1533-position model. The record is from RNAcentral.
CAGUCGCCACGGUAAUACGAAGGGUGCAAGCGUUACUCGGAAUUACUGGGCGUAAAGCGUGCGUAGGUGGUGGUUUAAGUCCGUUGUGAAAGCCCUGGGCUCAACCUGGGAAUUGCAGUGGAUACUGGAUCACUAGAGUGUGGUAGAGGAUAGUGGAAUUUCCGGUGUAGCAGUGAAAUGCGUAGAGAUCGGAAGGAACAUCUGUGGCGAAGGCGACUAUCUGGGCCAACACUGACACUGAGGCACGAAAGCGUGGGGAGCAAACAGGAUUAGAUACCCCGGAGUCCCUGUCUCUUAUACA